UACGUAGGGCGCAAGCGUUAUCCGGAAUUAUUGGGCGUAAAGAGCUCGUAGGCGGUUUGUCGCGUCUGCCGUGAAAGUCCGGGGCUCAACCCCGGAUCUGCGGUGGGUACGGGCAGACUAGAGUGAUGUAGGGGAGACUGGAAUUCCUGGUGUAGCGGUGAAAUGCGCAGAUAUCAGGAGGAACACCGAUAGCGAAGGCAGGUCUCUGGGCAUUAACUGACGCUGAGGAGCGAAAGCAUGGGGAGCGAACAGG
RNAcentral lists this ribosomal RNA (253 nucleotides) under uncultured bacterium. Its description in RNAcentral is "partial 16S ribosomal RNA". It matches the Rfam family "Bacterial small subunit ribosomal RNA", at positions 524 to 776 of the family's 1533-position model. The record is from RNAcentral.